CUACGGGUUGCACCAGUGGGGAAUCUUAGACAAUGGGCGCAAGCCUGAUCUAGCCAUGCCGCGUGAGUGACGAAGGCCUUAGGGUCGUAAAGCUCUUUCGCUGGGGAAGAUAAUGACAGUACCCAGUAAAGAAACCCCGGCUAACUCCGUGCCAGCAGCCGCGGUAAUACGGAGGGGGUUAGCGUUGUUCGGAAUUACUGGGCGUAAAGCGCGCGUAGGCGGAUCAGAAAGUUGGGGGUGAAAUCCCGGGGCUCAACCCCGGAACUGCCUUCAAAACUCCUGGUCUUGAGUUCGAGAGAGGUGAGUGGAAUUCCGAGUGUAGAGGUGAAAUUCGUAGAUAUUCGGAGGAACACCAGUGGCGAAGGCGGCUCACUGGCUCGAUACUGACGCUGAGGUGCGAAAGCGUGGGGAGCAAACAGGAUUAGAUACCCGCGUAGUC
This 439-nucleotide ribosomal RNA is filed under the name uncultured bacterium. RNAcentral's name for it is "partial 16S ribosomal RNA". It matches the Rfam family "Bacterial small subunit ribosomal RNA", at positions 339 to 795 of the family's 1533-position model. The record is from RNAcentral.